UUUCCUACUAGAAGGAUCCAAAAUAGAUAAAAAAAGGCGGUGAACAGAGAAGUACAAAAAUACGGAGUUUUUCCCACCACCCCCACAAGUCUCUCUCAAAGAAUACCGAAUACAAAGCAAAUGUGGUUAAUCGCCAGGCAAUAAUCACAGAACCACUAACAAUUAUUUAACCAAAUAAUGGUAAAUAAAAAAAUAUCAAAUGUGAAUCCCGUAACAAGUAAGAGAACAUGGGGGCAAAAAAGAUUAAAAUCAUAUCACAGGAGGAACAGUAGUGUCACAUGAUAAACAUCUCUCACUCUUGCUCUUUCUAGAAGAUCAAAGCCACCAUUGCCCAUCCCAUUGCCAACCCUCCUGCCAUCUUCUGCAGGCUCUUUAUCGU
Molecule: unclassified non-coding RNA, 379 nt
Filed under: Hevea brasiliensis (rubber tree)
Lineage: Eukaryota; Viridiplantae; Streptophyta; Magnoliopsida; Malpighiales; Euphorbiaceae
Source: RNAcentral